UCGAGAAUCUCUGAAACGGAAUAAC
RNAcentral lists this non-coding RNA (25 nucleotides) under Drosophila melanogaster (fruit fly). Lineage: Eukaryota; Metazoa; Arthropoda; Insecta; Diptera; Drosophilidae. The record is from RNAcentral.